RNAcentral lists this ribosomal RNA (494 nucleotides) under uncultured bacterium. RNAcentral describes it as "partial 16S ribosomal RNA". It matches the Rfam family "Bacterial small subunit ribosomal RNA", at positions 31 to 507 of the family's 1533-position model. The record is from RNAcentral.
GAACGCUGGCGGCGUGCCUAAUACAUGCAAGUCGAGCGAACAGACGAGGAGCUUGCUCCUCUGACGUUAGCGGCGGACGGGUGAGUAACACGUGGAUAACCUACCUAUAAGACUGGGAUAACUUCGGGAAACCGGAGCUAAUACCGGAUAAUAUAUUGAACCGCAUGGUUCACUAGUGAAAGACGGUUUUGCUGUCACUUAUAGAUGGAUCCGCGCCGCAUUAGCUAGUUGGUAAGGUAACGGCUUACCAAGGCAACGAUGCGUAGCCGACCUGAGAGGGUGAUCGGCCACACUGGAACUGAGACACGGUCCAGACUCCUACGGGAGGCAGCAGUAGGGAAUCUUCCGCAAUGGGCGAAAGCCUGACGGAGCAACGCCGCGUGAGUGAUGAAGGUCUUCGGAUCGUAAAACUCUGUUAUUAGGGAAGAACAAAUGUGUAAGUAACUAUGCACGUCUUGACGGUACCUAAUCAGAAAGCCACGGCUAACUACGUG